This 2793-nucleotide small RNA is filed under the name Rattus norvegicus (Norway rat). Its description in RNAcentral is "uncharacterized LOC102553824". Lineage: Eukaryota; Metazoa; Chordata; Mammalia; Rodentia; Muridae. The record is from RNAcentral.
UGAGGAAUCAGGGAUGAAUCAGAGGCCCAGAACGCACAUCACAGACCCACCUUAAUGCUCCCAGCUUUCACCUUUUUUUUAAAAAAAAGAUUUAUUUAUUAUGUAUAUAGCGUUCUCUCUGCAUGUAGCCUGCAACCUCUGAGCCAUCUCUCCCACCUCCUCACCUUUAGUCUUAAGAAUAACUAGCACCAGGCCUGGUGCUGCAUGCCUUUAAUCCCAGCGCUCAGGAGGUAGAGGCAGGAGGAUCUCUGUGAGUUUGAGGCCAGCCUGGUCUACGGAGUUCCAGAUCAGUCAUGGGUACAUAGAAAGACCUCACCUCAAAAGGAAACAAAAAACACAAACAAACAAAAUAAACAAGAAGAGGAGAAGGAGGAGUUGUAAUUGAGGACUUGGAACCAGCUGACCAAGAGGAUCCUAUGCCCUCUUUAGCUUCCCUGGGCACUAGGCAUGCAUGUGGUGCACAGACAGAUAGGCUACAUAUCCAUACAUUAUCCAGACAUAAUAAAGAUUUUCAAAUAACUGAGUCAAUUUAAACUAGUUAAAUUUUAAAAUUUUAGUUCAGACUGGGAUGGAUGACAGCAUCCAGGAGCUGGCGGCAGGCUGAUCUUUGCAUCGAGGCCAGCCAGAUCUACAGCAAGUUCAAGGCCAGCCCCGCCUACAUAGUGAGAGCCUACAUCUAAAGUAAUUACUCUAACGUCACGUACUCCAUAAGCAGAGGAGGCUGUGGUGGUUCCUCCAGCUGUUUUCCUCUGUCUGCAGUCUCUGCAUGGAGACCUGUCUGACCAGUAUUUGCUCGGCACUACCCUUGGAUAUCCAAUGGGUGCAUCAAACUCGGCAUGUCCAAAACUGCCGUUCUGAAUCCCACACCACCGGUGGAACCAGCAAGGCCAGUCUUCAUCUUUGUGAGUGAGCCUGAAAGGCUGCCUUGCUCAUUCCCAACCACCCAGUCCCAACCCUAAACAUGUCUACAAACACAGCUCUGUCGGGCUCUGUCCUCUUACUGCCUCUCCUCCUUGAGCUCUCAUGACCAUCUGCCCAUAUUGUCUGUUUCAAUUCUGUCUUUUGUUUCAAGUUCCGGGAAAGAGGAUUUUUUGUUUGCUUUGUAGCGAUAAUUUGUUUAAGUCAAGGGCUCGCUACCUGACUGACCUUAACUGUGGGAGAUCCUGUUGCCCCGGCCUCCAGAGUGCUGGGAUUACAACCUUGUCACCACAUCGGCUUCAAUAAAUAUUUUCAAUGAAUGAUGACUUUCAGGUGGGGAAACCCUGAAACCAAUCCAGAACAUGUGCCCCUGUCCAGAGCUGUGAAAACAGGAUUUGGGAACUCCAGCCACUGUACCGGGCACUGGGACCUGACUAUCCGCAAGGUGCAGACAGGGACUGAUCACACAGCGCCCAAGCGGUUGAUGUCCUCUCUCAGCGACUGGGAUAGAGAGAGAUGGCUUUGGCUACAACUGCUUCUGGGCCAGGUAAUCCUGGAGGAAGGAAUGACGCGCACCUUUGGGCACCAGCUGCAGUUGUUUGGGUGCUGCUGCUAAAUGACCAGAGGUCCCGGAAGCCGAUCCGGAGGAGGAGCUACGGCCCGUGCAAACGGGCGCGGUGACCCGGGGUGUGCGAGCCCCCGGGGACAGGCAGUCAGACAUCGCGGCUCCUACGCGCCGGACCUAGUUUACAAAGGCGAGCCCGGCCCUGCCCCGCGGCGUCUUGGACCAGUCCCACCGAGUGGGUCCCCAACCAAUGAACCCCAGUUCUUCUGAGCCGCGGCUCCAUGAGUCCCAAAUGUCCCCGGCUCCUGUGGGUUCCAGGCUCUCCGGUCGCUUGCCCCGGCGGACAAGGAUGGGUCAUCUACUGCGAAGACGAAAAUCUUUCCAGGAAGUUUGUACCUAUUAAUAUUGCAGUUCCUGGCAGCGGCUCUCCGCGCCGGAGCGGGGGCGGGGCAGACCUUUUCCAGACGAGUGUCCGCCUCUGGCCGGAGGCAAGGGCCGGAGGGGCAGCUUUCUAGGUCCCUUCGCCCAGGGCAGGGGUAGGACCUGCUCCGAUGCUCAAGGCGCCAGAGCCCAGAGGAUUGGCCGCGAGUAGCGCGCGGUGUGACCGGGAGGCCAAGACCCAAAUCUAGAGCUGGGACGCGGGAGGGGGAAGGGAGAGGAAUCCAUGAAUCGGUUACCAGAGGCCGCUAGGCCGCGCCGCUUUCAAAAAAAAGCGGGCAUCCUCCUGUAGUGGGAGACUACGAGCCUCGGGGCCCUGGAGAGGUCGGGACCCUGGUUCUGACCUUGCUGUGGUUACACAGCCGCCGGGAGCUGCAGCAGAAAUUUGAUGUUCGAAAGCUUGUGGCUUCCUCGCCACCACCUUGCACGACUGUCAUUAUCUCCAGUCACAGACACAGAAAUUAGAGGUCGUUGUGUUGUUACCCGCCGCAAGGCCUGGUGUGCACAACGGGAUCUCUUAGAAGGAAGCGCAGCUGUUUUCCUGCAGAAGCGCCCCGGAACCACACGACCUGCCGCUUUCUGGAUUUGCAGAAGUUCCUUGGGGCAGAAGUGCCAGAUCAUUCCUUCUCUCGGUCCACAGAUGAAGGUACCACAAGAGGGAAAAGGUCCUGUGAGGCGAAUGCUCUGUCUGGAUUCAGCUUGGGUGGAUCAAGCAACUCAUCGCCUUCCCUUUGGGCUGCAGAAAGCUGCGAGGUAGCCGCGCACAGAUCUCUGGAACAAAGAUUGGUAGCAUCAGCUGUUUUAAUGCAGAGUUCGGCACACAAUCCUUGCUAAAAAUAAAUACAAAGGAAACCCCAGAGCAGCUAAGCCUA